Molecule: long non-coding RNA, 1320 nt
Filed under: Oryza brachyantha (malo sina)
Lineage: Eukaryota; Viridiplantae; Streptophyta; Magnoliopsida; Poales; Poaceae
Description: long non-coding RNA (OBRA_LNC001584)
Source: RNAcentral
AGGACAGCGUAAAGUUUGUUCAGAAGGCGGUUCACACAGCGACAAAACAGGUACUGCGCUUUCAUUGCUUUGUUCAGCUCUUGUAGGUCGAGCGAAAAAUAUUUUGCCAAUUAAUGAUAAUCAAAUGCAUUUAUGUUGUCAACUUAGUGCAAAUAUAUAUGUAAGAGAUAUCCUGAUUUUGCAGUACCAGGUGACUGAGGGCAACCUCUAAAGGUCAUGAUGUCAUCGCAUGGUUCUGCUUUUGAUCUUUUGCUAACCGCAUCUAAUUUAAAUGCAUGAAAACUUGCAUAUCUAGAAAGACCUGUUAAUGCUAUCUGCAUACUGGAACAACAUAUAUUGAUAUAUGUAACACCUAUGGUACAGCUCUUUCAUUUCUUUAUGAUUCUAACACAAAUCUUAAGCUCUGCCAGCCCUGCAAUCUAUAUAUAUCCACCAUAUUAGUCUAUAUUAAAUCUUUUUGUAUGGCAGCUUUCUUUCAGGGAGAUGACUGCCGCCUUCCACUUUGCCACUGUUGUUACUGUUUUUCCUACCUUUUUGGUUGUUUCUCACCAUACUUACCAUGUGUACCGUCCAAACAUGGUUGAUUUGUUUAUACAGGCUGUCAGAUUUGCAAUUUUACUUCCAGACCCAUCGUCGUCGUCGUAGUUUACAUGACCGUUUUUUCUUUCCUUCCACUAUUUACCCUAUCUAACUGAGAGCCAUCAAAUGCUAUUACCUAUUUACAUGCCUUUUCAACUUUCCAUUGCCAUCAAAUGAUCAAACAAUCAUCGCCAACAUAUUUUGCAUUUAUAGUCUGAACGCUUACUCUCUAUGGGUCAUCAGUUGUUCGCUAGCUGUGUACUCCUACGGUUAAUUGUUAUUCCCCGGUCCGUUAUAACUUCACUUUGUCAUUCCCUUUGUUACGCAGGUUUAGGUACAGACAACCAUCUAAAUCAUCAUCUUACGAUGCCAUAUUUUUAAGGGUAAUUUUGUUUCUUCUAUUUUUUUUUUUAGGUCGGCUUCUUCUGCGUGGUACCAGACGGUAAAGCUCAAGAGGCCACCGCGACUCACUAGGAUAUACUGUUCUUUACCGACGAUGCGUGCCUUGCCAAUUAAGCUACUAUCCAUUAUUUGGUGCCGUCAGUGCAACAGGUGAUGCUUCCGCUCUUAUCCGUUGGGUUGAUAGUUUUGUACAUCAGAUCCACUGAAAACAAACUGAUCAAUUUUGCCUGGAGUAAAGCUGUGGUACAUGGUUUCCACCCUUUAUCUGGUUAUUUUUGCUACUGCUUGAUUUGCACCUGCUUUGCUCUUGGAUGGCUGCUCUCUACUUUUGUAUACAAC